CCGAAGCGGUCGCACUGAAAAAUGUGUUUUUCAUGUGUGUGUGUGUGUGUGUGUGUGUGUUCAAACAAUUGGAAUAUUUAAAAUUGUGCGAUCGCGUUUUGACAUCAUGUUCAAGUUCAUGUGUGAGUUAGCACAAUGGGCGACGUCACCGCACCACACCAGUGAGUGAGUAAAGUAAAGAGAGUGCAGAUAGGUUUGACCACAAAGCUAACAGGCUGAUAAUUCCUACUAAAAGGGUGUGGAAUACUCCAGACGUCCAGUUCUUAAGAAAAUAUCUAUCUGAAGACAUAAGAAGAGUGAAGAAAGAUUAUGCUAGUUUUUUAUAUCAGAAGAACUGCUCAGUUGCUUUCGACCAUUCGACCAUUUAAUUUUUAUUACAUUGCAUUCUGAAUUAAUAGCGAUGUGAUGCAGUUCCCAAAAAAAGAAGAGAUUUUUAAAGAAAAAGAAGUUCUAAAGAGAUAAUAUGAAACUCUGAAAAGAUGAGUAUUUUAAGAAAAGAGAUAAUGUU
Long non-coding RNA from Amyelois transitella, 508 nucleotides. RefSeq lists it as uncharacterized. The transcript has 3 exons. NCBI's taxonomy places the organism in Eukaryota, Metazoa, Arthropoda, Insecta, Lepidoptera, Pyralidae. The record is from RefSeq and is a predicted model, not a curated record.